RNAcentral lists this unclassified non-coding RNA (300 nucleotides) under uncultured fungus. RNAcentral describes it as "sequence contains 5.8S rRNA gene, ITS2". The stretch from base 1 to 72 matches the Rfam family "5.8S ribosomal RNA", at positions 84 to 154 of the family's 154-position model. The record is from RNAcentral. Lineage: Eukaryota; Fungi.
GUGAAUCAUCGAAUCUUUGAACGCAAAUGGCACUGUCGGGAUAGGCCUGACAGUACGUUUCUUUCAGCGUCGUUUCAACAACAUCAAGGCUGCGCCUUUAUUGGUGCAAUCUUGGACAUUGAGUGUCACAUUUCUAACGAAGUGUGUCGCUUUAAACUUAGCGGAUCGGCAUGUGCUAAAGCACACUGCACUAAUUACUUGACAGUGACGUGGAUAAUUUCACUAUUUGUGAAUCUUUACGUGACUGCUCAACGAAAGGUACAUGUGAGGCUUGGCGCAAAGGCUCGAACCGAACUGAGG